UGCCGAAACCCGGGAUCGAACCAGGGACCUUCAGUCUAACGCUCUCCCAACUGAGCUAUUUCGGC
Non-coding RNA from Cordylochernes scorpioides, 65 nucleotides. The record is from the annotation of a GenBank genome assembly. Lineage: Eukaryota; Metazoa; Arthropoda; Arachnida; Pseudoscorpiones; Chernetidae.